Molecule: ribosomal RNA, 468 nt
Filed under: uncultured bacterium
Lineage: Bacteria
Description: partial 16S ribosomal RNA
Rfam family: Bacterial small subunit ribosomal RNA
Source: RNAcentral
GACGAACGCUGGCGGCGUGCUUAACACAUGCAAGUCGAACGGAAAGGCCCUGCUUUUGUGGGGUGCUCGAGUGGCGAACGGGUGAGUAACACGUGAGUAACCUGCCCUUGACUUUGGGAUAACUUCAGGAAACUGGGGCUAAUACCGGAUAGGAGCUCCUGCUGCAUGGUGGGGGUUGGAAAGUUUCGGCGGUUGGGGAUGGACUCGCGGCUUAUCAGCUUGUUGGUGGGGUAGUGGCUUACCAAGGCUUUGACGGGUAGCCGGCCUGAGCGGGUGACCGGCCACAUUGGGACUGAGAUACGGCCCAGACUCCUACGGGAGGCAGCAGUGGGGAAUAUUGCACAAUGGGCGGAAGCCUGAUGCAGCAACGCCGCGUGCGGGAUGACGGCCUUCGGGUUGUAAUCCGCUGUCGCCUGUGACGAAGCGUGAGUGACGGUAAUGGGUAAAGAAGCACCGGCUAACUACGUG